Non-coding RNA from Ameiurus melas (black bullhead), 73 nucleotides. The record is from the annotation of a GenBank genome assembly. Lineage: Eukaryota; Metazoa; Chordata; Actinopteri; Siluriformes; Ictaluridae.
GGCAUGGUGGUUUAGUGGUUAGUGCGUUUGCCUCGCACCUCUGGUGGUGGGUGUUCAAACCCCGCCUCUGUCC